This 514-nucleotide long non-coding RNA is filed under the name Brassica napus (rape). RNAcentral's name for it is "long non-coding RNA (BNAP_LNC023842)". The record is from RNAcentral. Lineage: Eukaryota; Viridiplantae; Streptophyta; Magnoliopsida; Brassicales; Brassicaceae.
UGAUUUGAUAUAGAAUUUAUGAAUCAUUAAACCAAUAACACAUAAUUUUAAUACAGAUUUGAAAAUCAUAGAACCAAUAACACUAGAUUUAGUUCGGAUUUUCAAAUCCAUUAAAAUACAACAACCAAUAACCCCUACUUAAUUAAGCAUCUCAUUAAAAAAACAAUUAGUAUUAUAUAUUAGGGCAAAUCUCCAAAAUAGCACUUUUCUAAGUUUAUAUCACAAAAAUAGCACUCAAAAACUAAAAUGACCAAAAUAGCAUAUUUCUAAGUUUAUCCUUUGAAAAUUUUAAUUUUUUUAUUUUUCGAAAUUUGAAAUCUUAUCCCCAAAACCUCAUUUCUCAACUUUAAACCCUAAACCCUAAACUCUAAACCCUAAACCCUAAACUAUAAACCAUAAACCCUAAACUCUAAACCCUAAACCCUAAACUUUAAACCCUAAACCCUAAAAUCUAAACCCUAAACCCUAAAAUCUAAACCCUAAACUCUAAACCCUAAACCCUAAACCCUAAAUC